AUUGAACGCUGGCGGCAGGCCUAACACAUGCCAGUCGAGCGGAUGAAGGGAGCUUGCUCCUGGAUUCAGCGGCGGACGGGUGAGUAAUGCCUAGGAAUCUGCCUGGUAGUGGGGGAUAACGUCCGGAAACGGGCGCUAAUACCGCAUACGUCCUGAGGGAGAAAGUGGGGGAUCUUCGGACCUCACGCUAUCAGAUGAGCCUAGGUCGGAUUAGCUAGUUGGUGGGGUAAAGGCCUACCAAGGCGACGAUCCGUAACUGGUCUGAGAGGAUGAUCAGUCACACUGGAACUGAGACACGGUCCAGACUCCUACGGGAGGCAGCAGUGGGGAAUAUUGGAUAAUGGGCGAAAGCCUGAUCCAGCCAUGCCGCGUGUGUGAAGAAGGUCUUCGGAUUGUAAAGCACUUUAAGUUGGGAGGAAGGGCAGUAAGUUAAUACCUUGCUGUUUUGACGUUACCAACAGAAUAAGCACCGGCUAACUUCGUG
This 484-nucleotide ribosomal RNA is filed under the name uncultured bacterium. RNAcentral describes it as "partial 16S ribosomal RNA". It matches the Rfam family "Bacterial small subunit ribosomal RNA", at positions 30 to 507 of the family's 1533-position model. The record is from RNAcentral.